Molecule: ribosomal RNA, 497 nt
Filed under: uncultured bacterium
Lineage: Bacteria
Description: partial 16S ribosomal RNA
Rfam family: Bacterial small subunit ribosomal RNA
Source: RNAcentral
GAUGAACGCUGGCGGCGUGCCUAAUACAUGCAAGUCGAGCGAACAGAUGAGGAGCUUGCUCCUCUGACGUUAGCGGCGGACGGGUGAGUAACACGUGGAUAACCUACCUAUAAGACUGGGAUAACUUCGGGAAACCGGAGCUAAUACCGGAUAAUAUAUUGAACCGCAUGGUUCAAUAGUGAAAGACGGUUUUGCUGUCACUUAUAGAUGGAUCCGCGCCGCAUUAGCUAGUUGGUAAGGUAACGGCUUACCAAGGCGACGAUGCGUAGCCGACCUGAGAGGGUGAUCGGCCACACUGGAACUGAGACACGGUCCAGACUCCUACGGGAGCCAGCCGUAGGGAAUCUUCCGCAAUGGGCGAAAGCCUGACGGAGCAACGCCGCGUGAGUGAUGAAGGUCUUCGGAUCGUAAAACUCUGUUAUUAGGGAAGAACAAAUGUGUAAGUAACUAUGCACGUCUUGACGGUACCUAAUCAGAAAGCCACGGCUAACUACGUG